CCCAUUAUCACUUGCUUUCAACGGCAGUAUUUCAUAAGACUGCAUGUUUAGGGAGGAAUGCACUGUUGCUUGGUAUAUCCAGUUUGGUUAAAGGAGGAAUGCAUUAAAAAUGCACCGCCACCGGUUUGUGUCAUGUGACUCAAAACAGAACUAAUAAAAAUGUGAAAUUUGAGGAAAGCAGUUAUUUCCAUUUAUCGAGGGACUUACAACUUCACCUGUGUGUGAACAAAAUGGAUUGGGUGGUCUAUUUGACAGCUACCAAGAUGAGUAGAAAAACACUGACAAUUGCAUUGUUAAGUUUAGUGUUUUGUAGCGCAUCAGCUGAGUCAGCAAACUCACCUACAACUGAAUCUAUGACUGUCACAUCAUACUCACCUGCACAAACGACACAAUUCUGCUUACAACUGACACAACAGCAUAUACAAUACUGUUCAACAACAACUGAAACUCUGUUUACAACCACUGCCAAACCAACACAAACACCUGAAUCAACAAACUCACCUAUAACUGCAACAACUGAAUCUACGACUGUUAGAACAAACACAGCUACAACUAAAACUCGGCUUACAACUACAAGCCUUCCUACAGAAAAAACAACACAACUCACAACUGAGCAAUCAACUACAUCUGAACAAAGCACCACAAUGCAGUCAGCAAAUUCAUCCCUACCUACAACAAGUACAGCUCAAUCUACAACUGAGGUUACAACAAACUCACCCACAACUACAACUCUGCUUACAACUACAGCUCCUCCUACAGAAACAACAACAACACAACUUACAUCUACGGCUGAACCAAAAACCACAACUGCUGCAACAUCUACAACUGAACCAAAAACCACAACUGCUUCAACACCUACAACUGAACAAUCAACUACAUCUGAACAAAGCACCCCAAAGCAGACAACAACAUCAUCCCUACCUACAACACGUACAGCUCAAUCUACAACCCUGGUUACAACAAACUCACCUACAACUACAACUCUUCUUACAACUAAAACCCCUCCUACAGAAACAACAAGACUUACAUCUACUGCUGAACCAACAACCACAACUGCUUCAUCGUCUACAACUGAACUAACAACCAUAACUGCUUCAACACCUUCAACUGAACAAUCAACUACAUCUGAACAAAGCACCCCAAUGCAGACAACAACAUCAUUCCUACCUACAACAAGUACAGCUCAAUCUACAACCCUGGUUACAACAAACUCACCUACAACUACAUCUCGGGUUACAAUUACAGCCCCUCCUACAGAAACAACAACAAAACUUACAUCUACAGCUGAACCAACAACCACAACUGUUUUAACAUCUAUGACAGAACAAUCAACUACAUCUGAACACAGCACCACAACGCAGACGGCAACAACUUCCCUACCUACAACAAGUACAGCUCAAUCUACAACCCUGGUUACAACAAACUCACCUACAACUACAUCUCGGGUUACAAUUACAGCCCCUCCUACAGAAACAACAACAAAACUUACAUCUACAGCUGAACCAACAACCACAACUGUUUUAACAUCUAUGACAGAACAAUCAACUACAUCUGAACACAGCACCACAACGCAGACGGCAACAACUUCCCUACCUACAACAAGUACAGCUCAAUCUACAACCCUGGUUACAACAAACUCACCUACAACUACAUCUCGGGUUACAAUUACAGCCUCUCCUACAGAAACAACAACAAAACUUACAUCUACAGCUGAACCAACAACCAAAACUCUUUUAACAUCUACAACUGAACCAACAACCACAACUGCUUCAUCAUCUACAACUGAAUCAACAACCACAACUGUUUUAACAUCUACAACAGAACAAUCAACUAUAUCUGAACAAAGCACCACAAUACAGAUGGCAACAACAUCACUACUUUCAAGAAGUACAGCUCAAUCUACAACUGAGGUUACAACAAACUCACCUACAACUGCAACUCUGCUUACAACUACAACACCUCCUACAGAAAGAACAAGAAUUACAUCUACUGCUGAACCAGCAACCACAGCUGCUUCAUCGUUUACAACUGAACUAACAACCAUAACUGCUUCAACACCUACAACUGAACAAUCAACUACAUCUGAACAAAGCACCCCAAUGCAGACAACAACAUCAUCCCUACCUACAACAAGUACAGCUCAAUCUACAACCCUGGUUACAACAAACUCACCUACAACUACAUCUCGGAUUACAAUUACAGCCCCUCCUACAGAAACAACAACAAGACAACUUACAUCUACGGCUGAACCAAUAAUUACAACUGUUUUAACAUCUACAACAGAACAAUCAACUACAUCAGGACAAAGCACCACAACACAGACGGCAACAACAUCCCUACCUACAACAAGCACAACUGUUUUAACAUCUACGACAGAACAAUCAACUACAUCUGAACAAAGCACCACAACGCAGACGGCAACAACAUCCCUACCUACAACAAGUACAGCUCAAUCUACAACUGAGGUUACAACAAACUCACCUACAACUACAACCCCUCCUACAGAAACAACAAGACUUACAUCUACUGCUGAACCAACAACCACAACUGCUUCAUCAUCUACAACUGAACUAACAACCAUAACUGCUUCAACACCUACAACUGAACAAUCAACUACAUCUGAACAAAGCAGCCCAAUGCAGACAACAACAUCAUCCUUACCUAUAACAAGUACAGCUCAAUCUACAACCCUGGUUACAACAAACUCACCUAUAACUACAUCACAGGUUACAAUUACAGCCCCUCCUACAGAAACAACAACAAAACUUACAUCUACAGCUGAACCAAAAACCACAACUGAUUCAUCAUCUACAGCUGAACCAACAACCACAACUAUUUUAACAUCUACAACAGAACAAUCAACUAAAUCAGGACAAAGCACCACAACACAGACGGCAACAACAUCCCUACCUACAACAAGUACAGCUCAAUCUACAACUGAGGUUACAACAAACGCACCUACAACUGCAACUCUGCGUACAACUCCAGGCCCGCCGACAGAAACAACAACAACACAACUUACAUCUACGGCUGAACCAAUAAGCACAACUGUUUUAACAUCUACGACAGAACAAUCAACUACAUCUGAACACAGCACCACAACGCAGACGGCAACAACAUCCCUACCUACAACACGUACAGCUCAAUCUACAACUGAGGUAACAACAAACUCACCUACAACUGCAACUCUGAUUACAACUCCAGGCCCUCCUACAGAAACAACAACAAAACUUACAUCUACAGCUGAACCAAAAACCACAACUGAUUCAUCAUCUACAGCUGAACCAACAACCACAACUGAUUCACCAUCUACAGCUGAACCAACAACCACAACUUUUUUAACAUCUACAACUGAACCAAUAACCACAACUGUUUUAAUAUCUACAACAGAACAAUCAACUACAUCAGAACAAAGCACCACAACACAGAUAGGAACAAAAUCCCAACCUACAACAAGUAUAGCUCAAUCUACAACUGAGGUUUCAACAAACUCACCAAGAACUACAUUUCAAGUUACAACUACAGGCCCUCCUAAAGAAACAACAACAACAAAACUUACAUCUAUUGCUGAACCAACAACCACAAUUGCUGCAACAUCUACAACUGAACAAUCAACAACAUCUGAACACAGCACCACAAUGCAGACAGCAACAACAUCCAUACCUACAACAAGUACAGCUCAAUCUACAACUGAGGUUUCAACAAACUCACCUAGAACUGCAACUCUACUUACAACUACAGCCCCUCCUACAGAAACAACAAUAACACAACUUAUAUCUACAGCUGAACCAACAACCACAACUUCUUUAUCAUCUACAAUUAAACAAUCAACUACACCUGAACAAAGCACCGCAACACAGGCAUCAACACCAUCCUUACCUUCAACAAAUACAGCACAAUCUACAAACCUGGUUACAACAAACUCACCUACAACUACAUCUCGGGUUACGACUACAGCCCCUCCUACAGAAACAACAACAAGAAAACUUACAUCUACGGAUGGAUCAACAACCACAACUGCUUCAUCAUCUACAACUGAAGAAUCAACUACAUCUGAACAAAGUGCCCCAACACAGACAUCAACAUCUUCCUUACCUACAUCUCGGUUUACAACUACAGCCCCUCCUACAGAAACUACAACAGGAAAACUUACAUCUACAGCUGAACCAAAAACCACAACUUCUUCUUCAUCUACAACUGAACAAUCAACUACAUCUGAACAAAGCACCCUAACACAGACAUCAACAUCACCCUUACCUUCAACAAAUACAGCUCAGACUACAACCCUGGUUACAACAAACUCACCUACAACUACAUCUCGGGUUACGACUACACCCCCUCCUACAGAAACAACAUCAAGAAAACUUACAUCUACGGCUGAACCAACAACCACAGCUACUUCAACAUCAACAACAGAACAAUCAACUACAUCUCAACACAGCACCACAAUGAAGACAGCAACAACAUCCCUACCUAUCACAAGUACAGCUCAAUCUACAUCUGAGGUUUCAACAAACUCACCUACAACUGCAACUCUGCUUACAACUAGAGCCCCUCCUACAGAAACAACACAACUUACAUCUACGGGUAAACCAACAACCACAACUGUUUUAAAAUCUACAACUGAACCAACAACAACAACUGUUUUAAGAUCUACAACUGAACCAACAACUACAACUGUUUUAACAUCUACAACUGAACAAUCAACAACACCUGAACAAAGCACCACAAUGCAGACAACAACAACAUCCUUACCUACAAAAAAUACACCUCAAUCUACAACCGUGGUUACAGCAAACUCACUUACAAGUACAUCUCAGUUUACAACCACAGCCCCUCCUACAGAAACAACAACACAACUUACAUCUAUGGCUGAACCAACAACGACAACUGUUUUAACAUCUACAACAGAACAAUCAACUACAUCUGAACAAAGCACCACAAUGCAGUCAACAACAACAUCCCUACCUACAACAAGUACAGCUCAAUCCACAACUGAGGUUACAACAAACUCACCUACAACUGCAACUCUGUUUACAACUACAGCCCCUCCUACAGAAACAACAACCACACAACUUACAUCUACAGCUGAACCAACAACCACAACUGCGUCAACAUCUACAACUGAAAAAUCAACUAUACCCGAACAAAGCACCACAACACAGACAGCAACAACAUCCCUACAUACAACAAGUACAGCUCAAUCUACAACCCUGAUUUCAACAAACUCAGCUACACCUACAUCUCGGGUUACAAUUACAGCCCCUCCUACAGAAACAACAACAACACAACUUACAUCUACAGCUGAACCAACAACCAUAACUGUUUUAACAUCUACGGCUGAACCAACAACCACAACUGUUUUAACAUCUACAACAAAACAAUCAAUUACAUCCCAACACAGCACCACAACACAGACAGCAACAACAUACCUACCUACAACAAGUACAGCUCAAUCUACAACCCUGGUUACAACAAACAUGACUGUUACAUCAAGCUCAGCUACACAAACGACACAAUUCUGCUUAAAAGUGACACAACAGCUGAUACAAUACUGCUCAGCAACAACUGAAACUCUGUCUACAACCACUGCCAAACCUACACAAAAACCUGACUCAACAAACUCACCUGCAUCUGCAACAACAGAAUCUAUGACUGUUACAGUAAACUCAGUCCCUUCCACAGAAACAACAACAACAACAACACAACUUACAUCUACGGCUGAACCAACAACUACAACCAGAGCUCAAUCAACAACAACCCCAGGCACAACCCAGACAGUUUUUGUUAGUUUUUCCAGCAGUGAAAUUUUUGUCUCUGAUCUGUCAAAUCCAGCUUCAGAAGCAUAUAAAAACAGAGAAAAGAAUGUCAACGAUACGUUGACACCAUUCUUUAGAAAUGCAUUGCCCUCCUUCAAAGGACUGGCAGUUAUUCAGUUCCGUAAUGGGUCAAUCAUCACUGAUAUGAAUGUGACAUUUGGAACCUUACCCAGUGAUGUUGAGAUAGAAAACACUAUUAUGAAAGCUAAUGCCACUCUCAGUAUCACCAGUGUAACAAUAUGGAAGCCCUUCACCACAACUACCAAAGCCACUACAACCAGUUCCACUACAAUUACAACUACAACCACACCUAACACAACAACAGCAGCAGCAACAACAACAACCACAACAUCUACUGCCAAUCCUAAUACAACAGCAUCACCAGCAACCACAACAUCUACUGUCAAUCCGAAUACAACAGCAUCAACAGCAACCACAACAUCUACUGCCAAUCCUAUUACAACAGCAACAACCACAACAACCACAACAUCUACUGCCAAUCCUAUUACAACAGCAACAACCACAACCACAACAUCUACUGUCAAUCUUAAUACAACAGCAUUAACAGCAACCACAACAACUACUGCCAAUCUUAAUACAACAGCAUCAACAGCAACCACAACAUCUACUGUCAAUCCUAUUACAACAGCAACAACAACAACAACCACAACAUCUACUAUCAAUCCUAAUACAACAGCAUCACCAGCAACCACAACAUCUACUGCCAAUCCUAACACAACAGCAUCAACAGCAACCACAACAUCUACUGCCAAGCCUAAUACAACAGCAUCAACAGCAACCACAACAUCUACUGCCAAUCCUAAUACAACAGCAACAACAACAACAACAGCAACCACAACAUCUACUGUCAAUCCUAAUACAACAGCACCAACAGCAACCACAACAACAACCACAACAUCUACUGCCAAACCUAAUACAACUGUAACAACAACACCCACAACCACAACAACAACAACAACAACAACAAAAACAACAACAACAACAACAACAUCUACUGCCAAUCCUAAAACAACAGCAACAACAACCACAAUAACAACAGCAGCAACCACAACAGCAGCACCAGCACGUCCUCAGCCAACUGUUGCCAUACAGAUUGUCAUUAUAGAGGUGUUUGUUCCAGCACUGAAAGACCCUCAAACUCCGGAAUUUAAAAGCCUAGCCACAAAAGUAAUAUAUAGUAAAAUUCUAAAGCAAAACUCUGAAUUCAGUUUUUACUUGCCUGAAAGUUUUGGGAAGGAACUUUUUUCAAAAUGUUAA
Molecule: long non-coding RNA, 7097 nt
Organism: Cyprinus carpio (common carp)
Lineage: Eukaryota; Metazoa; Chordata; Actinopteri; Cypriniformes; Cyprinidae
Source: Ensembl